GACGAACGCUGGCGGCAUGCCUAACACAUGCAAGUCGAACGGAGAAUGUCAAAUGAAGUUUUCGGAUGGAUUUUGAUAUUCUUAGUGGCGGACGGGUGAGUAACGCGUGAGCAACCUGCCUUUCAGUGGGGGACAACAGUUGGAAACGACUGCUAAUACCGCAUAAUGUAUACGGAUCGCAUGGUCUGUAUACCAAAGAUUUAUCGCUGAAAGAUGGGCUCGCGUAUGAUUAGAUAGUUGGUGAGGUAACGGCUCACCAAGUCGACGAUCAUUAGCCGGACUGAGAGGUUCAACGGCCACAUUGGGACUGAGAUACGGCCCAGACUCCUACGGGAGGCAGCAGUCGGGAAUAUUGCGCAAUGGAGGGAACUCUGACGCAGUGACGCCGCGUAUAGGAAGAAGGUUUUCGGAUUGUAAACUAUUGUCGAUAGGGAAGAUAAAGACUGUACCUAUCAAGAAAGCUCCGGCUAACUACGUGCCAGCA
Molecule: ribosomal RNA, 484 nt
Filed under: uncultured bacterium
Lineage: Bacteria
Description: bacterial SSU rRNA
Rfam family: Bacterial small subunit ribosomal RNA
Source: RNAcentral